This 467-nucleotide ribosomal RNA is filed under the name uncultured bacterium. RNAcentral describes it as "partial 16S ribosomal RNA". It matches the Rfam family "Bacterial small subunit ribosomal RNA", at positions 28 to 507 of the family's 1533-position model. The record is from RNAcentral.
GAUGAACGCUGGCGGCGCGCCUAACACAUGCAAGUCGAACGAUUAAAGCACCUUCGGGUGUGUAUAAAGUGGCGAACGGCUGAGUAACACGUGGGCAACCUGCCCCUUUCAUUGGGAUAGCCACGGGAAACCGUGGAUAAUACCGAAUACCUCGAGACUUCCGCAUGGAAGACUCGAGAAAGCUCCGGCGGAGAGGGAUGGGCCCGCGGCCUGUUAGCUUGUUGGUGGGGUAACGGCCUACCAAGGCAAUGAUGGGUAGCUGGGUUGAGAGACCGACCAGCCAGAUUGGGACUGAGACACGGCCCAGACUCCUACGGGAGGCAGCAGUGGGGAAUCUUGCACAAUGGGCGAAAGCCUGAUGCAGCGACGCCGCGUGCGGGAUGAAGGCCUUCGGGUUGUAAACCGCUUUCAGCAGGGACGAGGCGAAAGUGACGGUACCUGCAGAAGAAGCCCCGGCUAACUACGUG